GAUGAACGCUGGCGGCGUGCUUAAUACAUGCAAGUCGAACGAACAUUAAGAGUGCUUGCACUUUUAAUGUUAGUGGCGAACGGGUGAGUAAUACAUAGGCAACUUGCCCCAAGGACUGGGAUAACACUUAGAAAUGAGUGCUAAUACCGGAUAGGUAAUACAAAGGCAUCUUAGUAUUAUUAAAGUUGGGUAUCCAACACCAUGGGAUGGGCUUAUGCUGUAUUAGCUAGUUGGUGAGAUAAAAGCCCACCAAGGCGAUGAUACAUAGCCGGACUGAGAGGUUGGCCGGCCACAUUGGGACUGAGACACGGCCCAG
RNAcentral lists this ribosomal RNA (316 nucleotides) under uncultured bacterium. RNAcentral describes it as "bacterial SSU rRNA". It matches the Rfam family "Bacterial small subunit ribosomal RNA", at positions 28 to 334 of the family's 1533-position model. The record is from RNAcentral.